AUCAAACAUUUUAUUUGAUUCACAUACAGGUGUCAUUUGUAAUUCUGGGUGCUGUAUAUAUGUUCAGAACUUUUGUGAAACAGCACAGUUGAAAAAUAAAUGGCAAAUAGAAACUGGAUGGUCUUCAGAGAUAGAUGGGAGGGGUUGAGGGUAGCUGAAGGAUGGGACUAAAAACAAACAAAAGAUAACUAAAUAAAAUAUACUGCGUCUGUAAAAUGUAUAUACUGUAGUAUGUACAGGGCCUUCGGAAAGUAUUCAGACCCCUUGACUUUUUACACAUUUUGUUACGUUUACAGACAUUCUACAAUGGAUUACAUUUAUUUUUUCCCCCUCAUCAAUUCACACACAAUACCCGAUAAUGACAUCACAAUACCCUAUAAUGACAUCACAAUACCCCACAAUGACAUCACAUUACCCGAUAAUGACAUCACAAUACCCCAUAAUGACAAAGCAAAAAUGUGUUUUUUUUAGAAAUGUUUGCAAAUUUACUACAAAUAAAAACUUAAAUAUCACAUUUACAUAAAUAUUCAGACCCUUUACUCAGUAAUUUGUUGGAAGCACCUUUGGCAGAGAUUACAGCCUUGAGUCUUCUUGGGUGUGAUGCUACAAGCUUGGCACACCUGUAUUUGGGGAGUUUCUCCCAUUCUUCUCUGCAGAUCCUCUCAAGCACUGUCAGGUUGGAUGGGGAGUGUCGCUGAACAUUUAUUUUCAGGUCUUUCCAGAGAUGUUCGAUUGGGUUCAAGGCUCUGGCUGGGCCACUCAAGGACAUUCAGAGACUUGCCCCGAAGCCACUCCUGCAUUGUUUUGGCUGUGUGCUUAGGGGCGUUGUCCUGUUGGAAGGUGAACCUUUGCCCCAGUCUGAGAUCCUGAGCUCUCUGGAGCAGGUUUUCAUCAAUAAUCUCUCUUUACUUUGCUCCGUUUAAAUAAUAAAAAUAAAAAUAAAACAAGGCUGUAACGUAACAAAAUGUGGAAAAAGUCAAGGGACCUGAAUACUUUCUGAAUGUGCUGUAUAAGCUGGAAGUAGAAGCCUCAGUGUUGUUGUCCACUAAUUGGGCGGGGUGGUGGUAGGGUUAGGGGGGAAAAUAACAAAGGAAAACAUAUUUUAAAAAAUAUAUAUAUAUUUUAUAUAUACAUUAACCCCCCCCCCCCAAAAAAAAAAAUAUAUAUAUGGGGGGGGAUUAGAAAUGAUGCAGGCAAUUACAUUAUGGAAGCUACAACCUGAAAUAUUAAUAUUAAUUAAUAUUAAUAUCUGAAAUAUUAAUAUUAAUUAAUAUUAAUAUCUGAAAUAUUAAUAUUAAUUAAUAUUAAUCUCUGAAAUAUUAAAGCUGAUUCAGUGUUUCCUUGUACAUGUAUCUUUGAAGGCCGUUGGAUGUUUCUAAGACAAUCUAGAAUGCUUUUUCUGCUGGUAGUUAUUUGGUCUUAUUUAGUUUUAAACAAACGUCUGAUAGUCUGGUUGAACAUGGUAUUUAUCUCCCCGUAGAGAUGUUACAUAAUCUACACAAUUAUAACAAGCUAAUAUGUCUAUGGCUUGUGUCCCAAAUGAUAUCCGAGUCCCUGUGUAGUGCCGUAAUGUUGACCGGAGAACUACGGGGCCCUGGUCAGAUGUCAUUUGGGACGCAGCCCAUGUUAGUAACGCAAACAUGCAAGUUACGCAGAUUACAGCAGUGUAUCAGUACACAGUAUAUAAACUCACACAAGGUAUUUCAGUACCUCCCGUAGCUUAGUCUCAAAGUUACAUAUGAGUUUUUAAAAGGGAACUAGAAGUUUCCGCAGUCAACCCGAGCUUUAGUAGGAUCAAUUUGUCAAGAUAUAUACCGUGUCAUGCUUAUAGAUGCGGUCCAGUCAAAUAUUCACCCUUGCAUGAUUUACAAUUUCUUCUAAAACAAGUUGAACUUGAAAAUAAUUGUUGGUGUUUAUACAUGCAUUGUUUGAUUUACCUAUGAUCAAUAAUGAAAUGGAGAUUUUUUUUCAAUAAAAAGUUCAAAAAUGACCUGAACUAAAUUUAUAUAAAUGAAUUUGGUUGGAGGCAGUCAUUCUGGUUAAAUGUAAUGUUUCUCACCUGUAGUAAGUAGCAGGAGACUACAGAGUAUGAAUAGUCAUUCAACCAGUUUUGAAAAUAAGAAACGGAACAUUCUGCUCCAUUGUAAAGUGCAAGGGUGCUAAUAUAUUUGACAGCAUCUGUAACAAUAAUAAUAUCGGCACUAACGAAGCCUGGUGUGGAAUACGUUAUUUCCUGUUAUCAGAGUGAAAUAAAUGGACGACUCUGAGGGUAGUCCUGGUUAGGGUUUCUGAGGGGAUCCAUGGUCCUGGUUAGAGUUUCUGAGGGGAUCCAUGGUCCUGGUUAGGGUUUCUGAGGGUAGUCCUGGUUAGAGUUUCUGAGGGGAUCCAUGGUCCUGGUUAGGGUUUCUGAGGGGAUCCAUGGUCCUGGUUAGAGUUUCUGAGGGGAUCCAUGGUCCUGGUUAGGGUUUCUGAGGAGAUCCAUGGUCCUGGUUAGAGUUUCUGAGGGGAUCCAUGGUCCUGGUUAGAGUUUCUGAGGGGAUCCAUGGUCCUGGUUAGGGUUUCUGAGGGUAGUCCUGGUUAGAGUUUCUGAGGGGAUCCAUGGUCCUGGUUAGGGUUUCUGAGGGGAUCCAUGGUCCUGGUUAGGGUUUCUGAGGGGAUCCAUGGUCCUGGUUAGGGUUUCUGAGGGGAUCCAUGGUCCUGGUUAGAGUUUCUGAGGGGAUCCAUGGUCCUGGUUAGAGUUUCUGAGGGGAUCCAUGGUCCUGGUUAGAGUUUCUGAGGGGAUCCAUGGUCCUGGUUAGAGUUUCUGAGGGGAUCCAUGGUCCUGGUUAGAGUUUCUGAGGGGAUCCAUGGUCCUGGAUAGAGUUUCUGAGGGGAUCCAUACUCCUGGUUUGGUUUUCAAAAUUCCAAUAAUUUUCCAAAAGUUCCAGUAACUUUGCCAAAAUUACCAGUUUUUCCCAAAAUUCUGGUAAGUGGAUUCCGAAUGACCUGAUUAUUCCUGCCUGAUUAGGGGAUUCCAACCAGGGUUUGGGGAAAAUUACCAGAAUUUUGCCUAGUGAACAGUAAUCUGGUUUAAACUAAACGUGGCUUUGGUGAGUUAAGAGUGAACAUAACUAGUACAUUUUUAAACAUGGAAAUUAAUUUUGUAAAGUCCUGGCAUUCAUAACUUGAGACAUUAUUGGUUAAGACAUGUGUUGGAAUAUAAUAGAUACAAUAGGUACAUAAUAUGGUUUCUAUUGAAUACGUAUAUAAUUACAGGUCACAGCAUGUAGUUCUGGUAUGUGUUCUACAGGAAGAAAAUAUAAACUUUAUAUUAAGGGACACCAUCCCUCCAUUUCAAGUCUGUUUAUAAAGCCACUUCCAACGCAGCGGUUAGUCAUUAGUGGUUAGCCAGUCUCACUGUAUCUCUGGAUGAGCACAGAUCAACCCCAGGGGUGCGUUCAACCAGGCAAACAGUUUGUGAUUGUUAGCUAACAGAAGCUAACACAUUCUAUAUGAUUUGUGUAAGCAACAAAAAUUAGCUAGCAGUCUGAAAAGAUGUGGAGUGAUUGGAGCACAUAUCCACACCAGGAGUCGUAGAGGAUCACAGAGCCACACCAGGAGUCAUAGAGGAGCACCGAUCUACACCAGGAGUAGUAGAGGAGCACAGAUCCACACUAGGAGUCGUAGAGGAGCACAGAUCUACAUCAGGAGUAGUAGAGGAGCACAAAUCCACACCAGGAGUAGUAGAGGAGCACAGAGCCACAUCAGGAGUCAUAGAGGAGCACAGAGCCACACCAGGAGUCAUAGAGGAGCACAGAUCUACACCAGGAGUCGUAGAGGAUCACAGAGCCACACCAGGAGUCGUAGAGGAGUCGUAGAGGAGCACAGAUCCACACCUGGAGUAGUAGAGGAGCACAGAUCCACACCAGGAGUAGUAGAGGAUCACAGAGCCACACCAGGAGUCGUAGAGGAGUCGUAGAGGAGCACAGAUCCACACCAGGAGUAGUAGAGGAGCACAGAGCCACACCAGGAGUAGUAGAGGAGCACAGACCAACACCAGGAGUCAUAGAGGAGCACAGAUCUACACCAACAAGAGGAGUAAAGGAAACAGAGGAACAAAGUCUUUGUGCUUAUGUAUCCUGGUAAAACCUCUGAGCUUGCAGUCCAUCCACUCAGAUUAAUAUUCCGUGUAUAGGGUCUUUCAGCUCCAAUAUGCCAGAGUUCUUCCCUGGAUCUGACAUUCCUGGUCAGACAAAUGACCUUUAAGUCCAAGAUGUCUCUCCCUUUCCCCCAGCUAACCAGUCCUCCUUCUGUAGCUCAGUUGGUAGAGCAUGGCGCUUGUAACGCCAGGGUAGUGGGUUCGACUCCCGGGACCACCCAUACGUAGAAUGUAUGCACACAUGACUGUAAGUCGCUUUGGAUAAAAGCGUCUGCUAAAUGGCAUAUAUUAUUAUUAUUAUAUUAUAGCUUGUUGGGGUUGUGGACCCAAAAAAAAAAAAGUAGUAGUUGUCAUUACAUUAAAGUAGUAGUUGUCAUUACGUCAGCUGGCUAUAGGUCGGUUACAGGAAAUGCUCACUACCACAUAUCUGGUGGAAAUAUAUACGCUGGUCUGCUAUAUAUUAGACAUCUUUGUUUUUCAGGUUUCUUUCUGGAGGUAUACAAUUCCUCUAGCAGAUAUCAUCAGCUGCAUAACAAGGCAUUCAGUCCAGCAACAGGUGCUAUAUGAAAAAUCCAUUAUAUAUCAGAAGAAAUGUGUGUACACUGUUCCGCUACAUAUCAUUAAAAAGCCAAGGGUUUCCAGUUGUCUCUCUGUAGUUAUGUUGUUCCGUUGACUGAUAGUCUGUAGUUGAACUGUAGUUGUUGCUGUAGCAGGUAUCAGUCUGUAGUUGUUGCUGUAGCAGGUAUCAGUCUGUAGUUGUUGCUGUAGCAGGUAUCAGUCUGUAGUUGUUGCUGUAGCAAGUAUCAGUCUGUAGGUGAACUGUAGUUGUUGCUGUAGCAGGUACCAGUCUGUAGGUGAACUGUAGUUGUUGCUGUAGCAGGUACCAGUCUGUAGUUGUUGCUGUAGCAAGUAUCAGUCUGUAGGUGAACUGUAGUUGUUGCUGUAGCAGGUACCAGUCUGUAGUUGAUCUGUAGUUGUUGCUCUAUCCACUAUCAGUCUGAAUUUGAACUGCAAUUCUUCCUGCAGCAGGUAUCAGUCUGUUGUUUUUUCUGUAUCAGGUAUCAGUUGGUAGUUGUUGAUGUAUCAGGUAUCAGUCUGUAGUUGUUGCUUUUAUCAGGUAUCAGUCUGUAGUUGUUGCUGUAACAGGUAUCAGUCUGUAGUUUAACUGUAGUUGUUUCUGUAUCAGGUAUCAGUCUGUAGUUGAACUGUAGUUGUUGCUGUAACAGGUAUCAGUCUGUAGUUUAACUGUAGUUGUUUCUGUAUCAGGUAUCAGUUUGUAGUUGAACUGUAGUUGUUGCUGUAGCAGGUAUCAGUCUGUAGUUGUUGCUGUAACAGGUAUCAGUCUGAAUUUGAACUGUAGUUAUUUCUGUAUCAGGUAUCAGUCUGUAGUUGUUGCUGCAGCAGGUAUCAGUCUGUAGUUGUUUCUGCAGCAGGUAUCAGUCUGUAGUUGGACUGUAGUUGUUGCUGUAGCAGGUAUCAGUCUGUAGUUGUUGCUGUAGCAGGUAUCAGUCUGUAGUUGUUGCUGCAGCAGGUAUCAGUCUGUAGUUGUUGCUGCAGCAGGUAUCAGUCUGUAGUUGUUGCUGCAGCAGGUAUCAGUCUGUAGUUGGACUGUAGUUGUUGCUGUAGCAGGUAUCAGUCUGUAGUUGUUGCUGUAGCAGGUAUCAGUCUGUAGUUGUUGCUGGAGCAGGUAUCAGUCUCUAGUUGUUGCUGUAACAUGUAUCAGUCUGUAGCUGUUGCUGUAGCAGGUUUCAGUCUGUAGUUGAACUCUAGUUGUUGCUGUAGCAGGUAUCAGUCUGUAGUUGUUGCUGUAACAGGUAUCAGUUUGUAGUUGUUGCUGUAGCAGGUAUCAGUCUGUAGUUGUUGCUGUAGCAGGUAUCAGUCUGUAGUUGUUGCUGUAGCAGGUAUCAGUCUGUAGUUGUUGCUGUAGCAGGUAUCAGUCUGUAGUUGUUGCUGUAGCAGGUAUCAGUCUGUAGUUGUUGCUGUAGCAGGUAUCAGUCUGUAGUUGUUGCUAUAGCAGGUAUCAGUCUGUAGUUGUUGCUGUAGCAGGUAUCAGUCUGUAGUUGUUGCUAUAGCAGGUAUCAGUCUGUAGUUGUUGCUGUAGCAGGUAUCAGUCUGUAGUUGUUGCUAUAGCAGGUAUCAGUCUGUAGUUGUUGCUGUAGCAGGUAUCAGUCUGUAGUUGUUGCUAUAGCAGGUAUCAGUCUGUAGUUGUUUCUGUAGCAGGUAUCAGUCUGUAGUUGUUGCUGUAGCAGGUAUCAGUCUGUAGUUGUUGCUGUAGCAGGUAUCAGUCUGUAGUUGUUGCUAUAGCAGGUAUCAGUCUGUAGUUGUUUCUGUAGCAGGUAUCAGUCUGUAGUUGUUUCUGUAGCAGGUAUCAGUCUGUAGUUGUUUCUGUAGCAGGUAUCAGUCUGUAGUUGUUGCUGUAGCAGGUAUCAGUCUGUAGUUGUUGCUAUAGCAGGUAUCAGUCUGUAGUUGUUUCUGUAGCAGGUAUCAGUCUGUAGUUGUUGCUGUAGCAGGUUUCAGUCUGUAGUUGUUGCUGUAACAGGUAUCAGUCUGUAGUUGAACUGUAGUUGUUGCUGUAGCAGGUAUCAGUCUGUAGUUGUUGCUGUAGCAGGUAUCAGUAGU
This is a long non-coding RNA of Oncorhynchus keta (chum salmon), 6757 nucleotides long. RefSeq lists it as uncharacterized. The transcript has 4 exons. NCBI's taxonomy places the organism in Eukaryota, Metazoa, Chordata, Actinopteri, Salmoniformes, Salmonidae. The record is from RefSeq and is a predicted model, not a curated record.